Molecule: transfer RNA, 95 nt
Filed under: Micromonospora parathelypteridis
Lineage: Bacteria; Bacillati; Actinomycetota; Actinomycetes; Micromonosporales; Micromonosporaceae
Description: tRNA-Ile
Source: RNAcentral
CCGCCGAUGGCCCGCAGGACCGGUGGCGCGGUGAGGAUGGCGCCGGCGACGGGCGCGACGACGAGCACCGCCCCGUACCAGACGGGGUUGGUGAC